This 301-nucleotide ribosomal RNA is filed under the name uncultured bacterium. RNAcentral describes it as "partial 16S ribosomal RNA". It matches the Rfam family "Bacterial small subunit ribosomal RNA", at positions 509 to 807 of the family's 1533-position model. The record is from RNAcentral.
CAGUCGCCGCGGUAAUACGGAGGGUGCAAGCGUUAAUCGGAAUUACUGGGCGUAAAGCGUGCGUAGGCGGUUCGUUAAGUCUGUUGUGAAAGCCCCGGGCUCAACCUGGGAACGGCAAUGGAUACUGGCGAGCUAGAGUGUGUCAGAGGAUGGUGGAAUUCCCGGUGUAGCGGUGAAAUGCGUAGAGAUCGGGAGGAACAUCAGUGGCGAAGGCGGCCAUCUGGGACAACACUGACGCUGAGGCACGAAAGCGUGGGGAGCAAACAGGAUUAGAUACCCGAGUAGUCCCUGUCUCUUAUAC